Molecule: ribosomal RNA, 484 nt
Filed under: uncultured bacterium
Lineage: Bacteria
Description: partial 16S ribosomal RNA
Rfam family: Bacterial small subunit ribosomal RNA
Source: RNAcentral
AUUGAACGCUGGCGGAAGGAAGAAAAAAGGAAAGUCGAGAGGAGGAAGGGAGCUUGCGGCGGGAUUGAGCGGCGGACGGGUGAGUAAUGCCUAGGAAUCUGCCUGGUAGUGGGGGAUAACGUCCGGAAACGGGCGCUAAUACCGCAUACGUCCUGAGGGAGAAAGUGGGGGAUCUUCGGACCUCACGCUAUCAGAUGCGCCUAGGUCGGCUUCGCUAGUUGGGGGGGUAAAGGCCUACCAAGGCGACGAUCCGUAACUGGUCUGAGAGGAUUAUCAGUCACCCUGGAACUGAGCCACGGUCCAGACUCCUCCGCGAGGCAGCAGUGGGGAAUAUUGGACCAUGGGCGAAAGCCUGAUCCAGCCAUGCCGCGUGUGUGCAGCAGGUCUUCGGAUUCUAACUCCCUUUCCGUUCGGAGGAAGGGCAGUCCGUUCCUACCUUUCUGUUUUGACGUUACCCACAGCCUAAGCCCCCCCUCCCUUCGUC